This 200-nucleotide ribosomal RNA is filed under the name uncultured bacterium. RNAcentral describes it as "partial 16S ribosomal RNA". It matches the Rfam family "Bacterial small subunit ribosomal RNA", at positions 1301 to 1500 of the family's 1533-position model. The record is from RNAcentral.
UAGUCUGCAACUCGACUACAUGAAGCUGGAAUCGCUAGUAAUCGCAGAUCAGAAUGCUGCGGUGAAUACGUUCCCGGGUCUUGUACACACCGCCCGUCACACCAUGGGAGUCGGAAAUGCCCGAAGCCGGUGACCCAACCAAAAGGAGGGAGCCGUCGAAGGCAGGUCUGAUAACUGGGGUGAAGUCGUAACAAGGUACC